UUUUGCGUCUAGAGAACACAUUAACGUUCGAAUGGGCUUCGCAGUGUAAUUGAAUUUUUCGGUGUGAUUUUGGUGAUUUUAAAGAAAAUACCAGGCCACCGAGUUGAGACAUCCGCCAAAGAUUCUUCGAGUAAACUAUUGUGCCAUCAUCUGGAUCAGACAUUUGGAUGUUUUUGUAUUUGUUUUCUGAUAGGUUGUCUGCGCCAUUUUGGGGAUGUGAUAUAUGUACGUACCUCAUGCAUCCACAUGAGGUUCUUAUUUUUGCUUUGUUGGCACAAUGCCAAUUAGUUGAUACGUCUUACACUCGUACGUAAACCCCGAUCAACACCUACAGGGCAACGUUUUGGAAUUCGACAACUAUUUGCUGUUCGCUGCUGGAGUGACUCGCUUAAUUUGGUAGCAGGUCUUCACCGCAACCAGUCAAUCGAUCGCGACCGUGCUAUCGGAUACAGCCGGAGUCUAAAUCAGCGUACACGACUGCAGCCACUACUUACAGGAACCGCAAGGUAUAAAGAAAACGGUCUUAGAAUCUUCAGGAGGAAUAAUUUAGUUUUUCUACUCCCGUCUGUAAAAUACCUAAUUAUCCACCGAUCUAGCGUGCGGGAAGCGUACCACGAAUCCGAGCCACUGCGGACAUUUCCGCGAUUUUACCGCACGGGUUUGGGAGCAAUCGGAUGUUAUCGGAGAUAAUUCCCACGUUUUGAAUUUUGAAUUUGGUUUUUGGAGUGAUAGCUUACUUUUCACACCAGAUCGGCUAACUCCCGGUUUGGUGGAGCUUUUUGCAGCCCAACAGCUCCUUCAUUCUAUUGUUCGCCUGUAGAUCAUUGGCCAGGAUGACUGUAAGUUAUAACUGUUUUUCAUUAUUUGAUUAACAACCUGAUUAACAGAAUUUCUAUAUGGGGAGGCAUAAUAUUCAGUGCCCUUGAUUGCUAAUAAAAGAAAAACUUGUGGCGCAUAAUAUUGUAAGCAAAAAUAUAUGAAAGUAGAAAGUAAGAAAGGGAAAUAAAAUGAAAUACUAAAAUAAUUAGUUAUUGGUAAUGGACCAGGGACUGAGUUGCAAUUGAUUCUGAAAAGGAUUCUGAAACUAGGUUUGAUUAUUGAUGUAAUUAAAAUGGUGUUCUGUCAAAUAGGUUUGAAAAAGCUUCAAAAUAGAUGCAAAACAUCCUCAUUAUCUUAUAUUCCCUAGGAUUGACUCCCACAAUCCACAAAAAAUCAAAACUUGAUGCUUGAAGUACUAUACUUUUUCUACAGUAUUGACAAAAUAAUACAUACUACUUCUUUCCAUAAAAGUUAAUUGAUCAAUAACUAAAUGCCCAUUCAAGGUGUAUUUUACUCUAUCCAAUCCAAAAACUUACUUUUUUGUUGUUUUUUAUCUAUAAUUUUUCUUUUUACAUUUUCUUUACAUGGGAUAUUCAAGUGUUAUCGUUUUGUGGUUGUGGUUUUAUGACUUAUCCCCCUUAUUAAUAAAGCUAGCGUGUUGCAGUUUUUGUCAUACAGGGUGGCUUUGAAAUACUUCAUUUUCAGAAACCCUUGGUAGUUUGGUUAUGCGUUAACUUAUUGAAAAGGUGAAGACUGACGUAGGUAUAGUUUUUUACGAUCCAGUGGCGUAGUCAUCAAUUUUUCCUGAUCACGUCAGAGCUAAUUCAAAUACAAUCAUUUUAUUUUUUUAUUGAGCAAGUAAUGACCAAAUGAGCUUCUGCUUUCAUUAAUGCUUCAUUAAUGUUGCAAAUCUUUAUAUAUUUUGUCCUUAUUACUGUUGACAAAGCAAUCUACAAAAUAUCUUGCCUGCCUUACAUAUAUGUACUUGUUCUUUUUUGCCAAAUCUAACAGCUGUAUUCCAAUUAUUUCCAAGUAAUUGUAUUAAUUGAAAAAUAUUUCUUCAUGCUUUUUUUUAAACUACAUUUUUUCCCAAUAAAUUGGUCCCAGAUAAUUUAUGAAAAAAAAAAAGAUGUUUGACGAAUGUGAAAUAUGUUUUAUCCCAAAAGCAGUGUAAAGAAUAAGAACGCGCAUAUUUUUUGCACAGAACUAGGUCUAUUUUGCCAAGGUUUGAAAUAGUUUCUUUGUAGAUAAAAUUUGCAAAUUACUGUUUAUUAUUUUUUUUGUGUGUUUAUAAAUUUUGAAUUUUUUAUUGUACUUCCCGAGUAGUAGUAGAGUAUUUUAUUGGGGUGUUUAAAAAAAAAAUGUUAUUGAAAUCAGAGAUUUUUUCUAUGAUAGUUUUAUAUGUAUCUAUUAGUUUAUUUGUAUAUGCAAGAUAUAUCUUACUCUGACUUUCUAACUUUUAAUAGGAUGCUCUGUAUGUUACUGCAAAUUUGGACGAGUCGAAUGACGUAAUGUAUUGUGUGGGUCUGGGUACCAACGUUUCGGAUUUUUUGAUUUUGUUCUUCAGUCUGACAAAUUCUUGAAUUAACAAAUUCGGUAAAUAAAAGUUUUUUGAGAUUUGUUUGCAUGAAAAGAAAUCGAAAUGUUAUUUUAACUACACAUGUUUAAACAUUAUUGUUAAAAUUUAAACAUGUUACUGCAAACUACACGUUUUGCUAUUAAAACAUUUAUUGAUUUACUUUUUACAAAAUUUCUUGAUUCAUCCUGCGUCAGUUUUUGCUGAGUCGAACUUGCCGACGUUUCGCCAAUCAUACUGUUGGCUUUUUCAGAGCUUCACUGAAACUGAUUCGUAUUUUACUCUGGACCUGCUUAUAUAUUGUUUGAGGGGGGCAGAGCUAAAUUAGCGGCAUAAACACCGUCUCGGAUGACUGAUCCCCAUAUUGAUGACAGAUAGAGACCUGAGUCGCGGUUAAGAUUGUUAGGUUGUUUAUAGAUUUGUAUAGAUUGUCGGAUUUUUCGUUGGUAGAAGAACUGAUUACGUGCAAAAAUUUUAGUUUUAUCGAAUAAAAUGUUAUGUCCGGUUUCAUGAGUGUGUUCGGCAACAGCCGAUGAGUUUAUUUGUCUUAGAGGUAAGGCUCUUUCGUGUUCUUUGAGCCAGCUGAUAUUUUUCGUCCGGUUUCUCCAAUUUAUUCUUUGCCGCAUAUGCAUGGAAUGCUGUAAACUCCUGGCAUCGCAAAUGGAAUUUUGUUUUUGACGGACCGAAGAUGUUGAGAGAUUUUUGAACAAAUGGUAAAUCUGCUUUUGACGUUAUACUUCUUUGGAACUUUUGAUAUGUGGUCAGUGAUCGCUAUUGGAAGGUUGUGGUGAAAUGUAUUUUUUGAUAGAACGCUCAAUAUCUUUCAUGUGGAAAUUAUUAGAGGGAAGAGCAGAGGUAAGGUGUUUUAACUCUGAUGGUGAUGUGACCAUGCAUUAAAGUAUCGGUCUGUGCGCGUAGAUUUUCUGUAAACACAAUGACCCAAUGUUGUCUGAUUUUCUAUUGAUAAGAAUAUCUAAGAAUGGAAGAUUAUUAUUAGUGUCUAGUUCAAUAGUAUUGUAUUGUAUAAUGUUUUAAAAACUACAACUGUCAUCCAAAAUACAUAAGAGACAAAAAGUGUAAAGUAAGAGGUUUAUUAAACUAAAUAAGUUUUAAUACCAUUGGCGUACAUAAAGAAAAGUUGCUGAUAAUCCACAUAAAAAUCUACAUAAAAGUGAAAUAUGUGUAAAAUUGCGAGAUUUAUAAAUAAAAAUGUUAUUUUAUGAAUACAUUUUUACACCCUGCAUUUUAGAAACCGGCCCCGAAAAUGAAAAAUGGCAUAAUGAAAAUCACAUUUAUACACAAUGUGUCAUUAACGGGAUGACCUAUACUUUGACUCACCCUGUAUAACAUAUAUUUAAAUAGAAUAAUGGUUUAUUAUGCGAAAAGUGUGGUAAAGCGGAGCGAGUGUUUGUUAAAUGAGUGACUUAAAAGGUUUACCAAACGUGUUGCAUAUUAUGCUUUAUCUACGGCUGUCAGUUCUUGUGUAUUGUAGCCUAUAUUGUUAAUAACAAGUAGUUUGUCCUCAAGUCCCUUAUUAUUAUUUAAAGCCAUUAUAUACAAAAAGACAACAUGUUUAAAGACUUUUCGUAAAGAUCUUGUACAGGGUGGCCACUUAGUGUUGCCUGGGUAAACCCAACUUCAUUUUUUUUUAAAUCGAACAUCCUGUAUAUUAUUACAUUUUUCGAUUCUACUCAAGUUUCUAGGAAAAUUUUAUAUAUAAUGUUGUUUCGUUUGCAUGCUCUUUUAAUAGUUUAAUUAAUGUAAUUUAGUCAUUUUUCUAAUAUUAGUUGCCCUAAAAAAAUACAAAUUUUCUACCAUUACCAACACGUUUUAAUUCGUCGUUCGUGGUUUUCUCUCUUCAUUGUAGCGGGCGUUUCGAUAGACUUUAUCCAAGUUUGUAAGAACUGAACGUUUUUUUGUGAAAACCAUGUUGAUUUUGAUCUAUGUCAUUCUUUACCAGAAAAAACAACUGUAAAUAAAUUGCAGCCUCAAAAACCUGUGCAAAGAGUUUUCGUCGUGUAAAACAAAUUUGAUUUUUUAAAAAACUUUAUUAAAGCGAGAUGACAUAAAGCUGGCGAUGUGGUUCGCACCGUGGUUUUAUAUAAACAAAUUGCUGACACUUUGGGAAACAAUAUGUAUGGGAACUUUUAUUCAGCGGUUUACAAUAUUAGAGCGUUUAUAACACCUCCGCCCUUAAAUAAAAGCACGGGUACAACAAGUGGUUUUAGUUUAAAUAAUGAUAUUCUCUUUUUGUUUAUUAAUUUUAGGUAACCUUUUAAAUGGAAAACAUCUAUAUAACAAAUAAAUCAAAAUCAAUAUAAUUAUUAGGUACAACAAAAUUGUCCAAACACUAGUUCUUGUAGAAUAUAUAGGUAAUGACAUCUUCCCAAGGUUUUCUUUUGCUUCGUCCAUUUGGAUUUGUAGCUCUUUUAUUGCCUUUAGGUUGAUCGUGUCCAGUGUGAGUUCUGGUGGAUCGAAGAUUGUUUUCUGUUUGUGUAGUAGUGAGAAAUUCACUUCCGGUAGACGGGUGUCAUCAAAUCUCAAUCGAUUAGGGGUAUAGGUCCCUAGUCGUUCCAAUUUGUACUUUGCAAAUUGGGGAAGACUCGAUAAGGUGAGAUCCGAAUAAUGGUACAAUGUUAAUGUCGUCAUUACAUUGUACUGUUGCUAUUGUCUUCUUAGGUGUCAAUCCAUUUUCCAUUUUGGAUUUUAAAAAUUUUUAUUUCUUGAAGUUGGAUUUUAAUUGGUUUACAGUUUGUCACAUUGGUCUUGCGAGUUAUUAUUUCCACUGAACAAGGCGGGUGUUCCUUCAUAUGGGUAAUAUAUAUAUUUUUACACAUCAACUCAUUUUUUAAUAGUUUCACACAUUUAGUGUCCAUAAAUGAGUAUAUAUUUCCACUCAGGUAUGGUUGGAUCGGUAUAUUGACGUAAUAUUGCAGUUCUUGUUCACUAUUAACUGGUAGCGGAUACAAUUGGUAAUAUUGAUAAAUUUCUGAUUCUACUAGUGGUAGUUCCAAAAUAAAAGUUAUUAUUAGUCCUCUAGAGUAGCUUUUUAUUUCUAUAAUUUUUUCAAAAUUUAAUAUAUUUUCGAUAGAUAACUCGAACGGUAGUUGGUUUUCCUUUAAUUCUUUUUUAAUGUUUUUAAUUUCUUCGAAUAGUUCGGACGGAUCAAUUAUUAAAUUAUAUAAAGUAUUUAAUUUAGCAAAGCUAAUUGCGGUUUCGAUUUUCUCAAAAAUGUUAUAUAUUGAAUUAUACAUAAAGGUAAUUUGAUUCAUUACUACAUGUAUUUGGAAAUACUCAUAGUCGUUCGUUUGUUCAACAGUUAUCUUUUUGAUUAUUUGAUCAAUUUGUAAUAUUUUGUAUUUAAGGAUGAGUUGGUUAUGAGAAAUAUUGGAUAUCAAAUUUUUAAAUGAGUUGAUUGUUUUUUCUAACGGUUUUAUUUGAUUAAUUGAAUUAGUUCCUAAAUUAUUUUGGUUUUCUUGCAGUUGUUUGAUUUCUAUAUCGUUUUUUUGCCUCGUCAGAUUGGUCUAAGUUUCCAGUAAUACAUUUAAUAAUAGAACCGAUUGGGUUUAAUAGACCUCUUUUAUUUCUUCUUAUAUAUGAUGGAUUGAGUUGAUUAAUUUGGUUUUCAAUGCGUUUUGCCAAUGUUACAAGAGGGAUGACUGAAUUAGAAUAUUCGUGAGAAUAAUUAGUAUUAUUUUUAAUCUGACUAAUUAAUAUUUUUACUUUGUUAUAGAUUGCAUAGAAUUCAGCAACAGCUGGGUUUAAAUCAAAAAUUUGUAUAAAGAAGAAUUGGUUAGAGGUUAUUUUUGCGGUACCUAGUUUAUAAGGAAGGAUUCCUAGAUAGUUGUUCAGGUUGUGGAAUUUUACUUCGUUUGUUCCGAUGUUUGCGAGCCACCUGGAACAAUGUUCAUUAUUUUAGUUUCGUUAACGUGAGUUAUUUCUUUUUUAUUUGUUUUUGGGUUUUCUAUUUCAAUUUUAUUAUUAUCUAAGAUUUUUGUUAAUAUGAAUGGUCCAGAAAAUUUUUUAUUUAAUUUACCUUUUCGACUUUCGAUGCGCUUAUACACCGUUGCGCCAAUUUUUAGUUCUACUGGAGUUUUGUUUUUAUUAAUUUUUAUUAGUUUUAUCGAUCGUUUUGUUUUUUUAAAAGGGAAUCGUUAUGUACCUUUUCGUAAAGAAGCUUAGUAUUUGUUUGAUGGUUAUUUACGUAUUCACAAUAUAUUUGAGAAGUGAUUAGGUUCAUAGGGUCACUUGUAUCAGUGUGUCCUAGUGUUAAUUCAAAAGGCGUAAAAUUAGUAUUUGUGUGUAUAGUACUGUUAUAUGCAAUGAUCGCAUAGGGCAUAAGUGAAAUAAUAUCGGAAUUUGGUAUUCCAUAGAAUGAGAAGAAAUGUACUAAUUUUUGGCAUGCUGAAAUCGCAGUUCUUAGAGAAUUUAUCAAUUAUAGUUAAGAAUUUUUGUCCGCCGGCAAUAAAGGUAUCGACGUGUAUAAUUUCAAAUGGUUUUGAAGGUGUUUCAGUUAACAUUAAAGGUUGAUCUGGUGGUUUUCGUUGAUAUUUUGCUCGCUGGCAAAUUUCACAUUCGUUAAUAUAUUUUGUAACAUCUGACUUUAAGGAUUUCCAGUAAUAAUUAUUUUUUAGAAAUUUACAAGUUUCUUCUAUGCCUCUGUGAUUAGUUUUACCUUCAUUUUUAUAUUUAAUUAAUAUAUUUCGUUCUUGUUAAUAAUUUCAUUUAAUAUAGGUAUUCCCUGUAAAGUUUUGUCAUUAUUAGUACUAUGUAUUGUAUUUUCAAAAACUGGCCUUAAAAGUUUGUUUUCAAGAAUGAUUAUUUUUGGGCUUUUUAGGCGUUUAUUUUCUAUUUCCUCGAGUGUUUUUGAAAUUUCAUUCCAGUCUAAUUUAUUCGGAUGAAAAUUGUUGUCUAGAAUAUAAUAUUAUAAAUUGACACUAUAAAUAGAGUCAGUUUCUAAAGCAUUUAAUUUUAUUCGUGACUAGGCGUCCGCAUUUGCAUUUUGUUUGCCAUUUUUAUAAAGAAUUUCGUAGUCAAAUUCUUCUAGUUUGUCUCCAUCUCAUAAGUUUUUAAUUUGGUUCUAUUAGGUUAAACAACCAGACUAAUGGUCUAUGGUCCGUAAAAAUUAAAAAAUUAAUUAAUUAAAAAAAAUAAAACCGUUAGCUAGAUCCAGAGUUGAAAAAUACUGAGCUUUACCGAGUUUAUCGAGAAUAUCUGAAAUAUUAGGCAAGGAAAAUUUAUCAUCGAUUGUUUUUUCAUUAAGUUUCCGGUAAUCUAUGACAACGCGCCAUUUACGUUUAUUUGAUGCAUCUAAUUUUUUUGGUACGAUCCAUAUAGGACUCCACGGGGAAUGUGAGGGUUGGAUUAUAUUAUUUUUUAGCAUUUCGCCUAUUUGUCUAUUUACUUCGGCUUUAUGUACUUCAGGAUGACGGUAAUUUUUUGUGUAAACGGGUGUUUCGUCAGUUAAAUUAAUUUUGUGUUUAAUUUGAUUUGUGAAAGAUUAAUGGCACUUUAUCGCAAUAAAAUAUGUCUCGAUAUUCGUAACAUAACUUCCUAAUCGCUUUGUAUUCUUCUUUAUUGCAGUGAUUCAGUCUUAAAUUUUUUAGAUUUUCUUUUUGCAGAUUGUCGAAAUUACUUAUUGAAUGUUCGAUUUAAUUUUCAUUGUUAUCUUCUAUUUUUUCAAUGAAAUUAGUUUCACAUUCAUUUAUUAAUUCAAUUUCUAGAGGUUCAAUAAAUUGUAUACUAACAGGAUUUUCAGAUGUGUUAGUAAUAGUUGUUAACGCACAUGAAUCGAUAAUUUUUACUAAAGCUUCCGGCAUUUCGGCAUUUACAAAUUUUUCAUAUUUUAAGAUUCCUAUACCAUUUUGUUCUGUCACGGGUAUUUUAACUUUGUGUUGCUUGGUUGUGGGUAAUCAAAUAUUGAGGUAUUAAGUAGUGAUUGCAAAUCUCUCGCUUUUUUGCUGCACGUGCGACUUCAGUUUUUUUCGAAAUGGACUGAAAUUUAACCACCAUAUUUUUGGGGGUGUUUUUGGAGGCAACACCCGGAAAUUGGAUGACUCUGUGACUGGAGACAAUAUCAUCAUCCUGAAGUUCAAUUUGUGGAGUCUCUCCAAUUUUUUUAACAAUAUCUUCAACGUUUUCACCCUUUAUCUCAGUAACCACCACAUACUUCCAAGUUAAUAUUUCUAUCCUGUUGCUUCAUCCACUCCAGUUCUGAUCUCAAAGAGCUACAUUCAGCUUUAACUGAUUCAAGUUCCUCUUUUAAGUUAUCAAUCUCCUAAGGUAUUUUUUAACUGUUUCCAUCUGGGCAGUAAAGUCAUCAAUUUUCCCCCCAAAAAAUUACAAGGAAUCUUUAAAGAGACCUUGCUCAACUUUUAAUUCGCUCGUAGUUGACAUGAGUGAAUUAACCUUUACAAUUACUUCUUGAAAGUACUUGGAGACAUCAGGUUCCGUUCCUAUACAAUGUUUACAUUUCCACACGCAUCCAGGAUCGCGAUCCAGCUCCGCAAUCGCGUUGGGCAAUUUAAUAUAUUUUAAGUGAAAAUCGUUUGUGCAACCUUCGCAUCGAAUACCUCUGGGCUAUUUCAAAUUUUGUAGGUGCUCAAAAUAGUUUUAUGCGGGAGUCCGCCAAUAAAGUGUGUAUCACCUGGCACUUCAACCCCCCUUCGGCUCCACAUUUUGGCGGGUUGUAGGAAGCGGGGGUGAAAGCGGUUAAAAGUCACCUUUACAGUGUCUUUUGUGGUCACAUAUUAACAUAUGAAGAGUUGAACACUGUUUUUAUCCAAAUUGAAGUCAUUUUGAAUUCUCGUCCACUUACCCUUUUUGGUACCGAUCCCUACGACCUUUCAGCCCUCACGCCGGGUUAUUUUCUUACAUUGAAACCUGUGAUGGCACCCCUGAACACGAUUACACUUCGACUUCUGGUAGUCACUUAGAUCGUUGACAACUACUCCAGCGAAUGCUUCAAGAUUUCUGGGCCCGGUGGUCCAAAGAAUUUUGAUAUACGUAUCAUCAGCGUAGCAAAUAGUAUAAAGAUCCUUCUUCUGUUGUAAUUGGUACGCUGGUACUAAUCAAAGAUGAUCUCGACCCGCCAAUGCAAUGGAAGACGGUAUAGUUAGAGUGGCUCUUGUAAAGACUUCAAAUAGCCCGGUUAUUAAACUGUCCGCUACCAACAAAUAACACACUAAAAAAAUUCGUUGUAUUUUGGUAGGCGGAAUGUUACGUUUGCAUGUUCUUUUAAUAGUUAAUUAAUUUAAUUUAGUCAUUUUUCUAAUGUUCGUUGCCCUUAUAUUAAAAGGGAAAAAGAAUUUACUACCACCGCAAUUUAUGUUGACACUUUCUUAGUAUUUUAAUUUCCCGGUACGUUUUAAGGCCUAUACGCAAGUGCAAAGUGCAAGUAGUGCUUUUUUGGAUUCGAAAUGUAUCGAUCGAUCGGUACUCGGUAGAACGUUGCAGAAAAAUUAAUUUGUCGCUCGUGAUGUUCUCCCUUCCCUGUUGCGGUCGUUCAGAUAGACUAACAAUUAACAAUUAUCUGUUAGUGACAAUUUAGAGUGUUCCAAUCGCCUCAGCCGGCCGGCUCCCCGCAUAAUCCGGGACUCCCAGGUCGAUCAAACACACACUAAAGUAAUAAGGCCUCAAUUCGUAGUUUUCUUAUAAAUUAUACAGUCUAUUUUCUCGCCACUCUAGCCAUUGUUGAGUUCGUCAAUUAAAUGUUCUAUAUCUAUGUCUAAUGGUUUUUGACAUAUUUAAGUUUUUAUUUUAAUUAUGUCAUUUGCAGGCCCUAGGACUAAUACCAAUUUUUCCUAAAAGGAAAUCUUUAUUUUUUAAUUUGGGUUUAAUACGUUGUUGGCAAGAACAUACUUUAUCACAAUGUUUAUAAUAUGUUGUUAACUAAUAAUGCAUGCAGGGUGUUCAAAAAGUAAGAUUAAAUACUAAUUUAAGAAAACUGUCAAAAAUCUUUUUUUAAAUGGACCGACCUCUCCAAUUUCAUAAUUUUAUCUUAUUUACCAUUAAAAAUAAUAUUUAAUUUAUUAAAAUAAUAAUAUUUUGUUAACUAAUAAUGCAGGGUGUUCAAAAAGUAAGAUUAGGUAAUAAUUUAAGAAAACUGUCAAAAUCUUUUUUUUUAAUAGACCGACCCCUGCAAUUUUAUAAUUUUAUCUUAUUUAUCAUUAAAAAUAAAGGUAAGUUUGUAUAAGGUAAGGUUGUUUAUGCUGAACAUGUUUAGUUUUCGAAAGAUUGAUAAAUUAAUAUUCUUAUAUGACGAUUUUGCUGCGGUUUCAAACUUUGUUAUAUCUAUUCUUAGUUGGCUAACACAGCGUUUAAAAUCAAUAAUAUUCCAAAGAAAUAUAUGAGGCUGGUGAUAGUUGCUAUUUCAAAAUUAUCAAUAAUUUUUUGACCUAAAUUUUAUAAAAUGUGACAUAUUUUUAGUUAAAAAAACUAUAAUAUGUCAGAUAUAAUACUUAAAGAAUUGACUUGGAUUUGGAUUGGAACAACAGGUAUUAUAAUAAAUUUUCAACAUGUCCUCCAUAAACCGCCAAUCACGUCGUAUAUAUAGUUUCCAUUUUAUUUAUAGCAUCACUAACCAUUUUAGAUUCGUUGAUAUUAAGUAUUUCCUGUAUUAUUUGCUCUUUGUUCUCCCUAUUUCAGUCCGAUUUUGAUAAACUUUAUUUUUUAGGUUUCCCCAUAGAAAGAAAUCUAAAUCAGAGCUAACAGCUGUCCAAGGUAUUGUUCCGGGUCGACCUAUCCAAGUUGUAAAUGGGUUGUUCAGCCAGUUAAUAACAGAUCGUGACGUAUGAUAAGGAGCACUAUCUUGUUGAAAGAUUUGAUCAUGUUUAACUUGUUCCAGUAGAGCGUCAAUAAGCGGAUAAUUCUGCGUAGCUAGUAGGUUUAAAUACCGAUCACCAUUAAGAUGGCCUUCAUAAAAAAUAGAUAUUAUACCACACUAACUUCUGUAACCCUGCUUCUGAAUAAUUUUAACACGGUGUUUGUUACUAGUAGAUCUAUUAAUAAUGCCGGUCGUAUUAAAAAAACUUUCGUCAGUCCAUAAUACUGUUUCAAAUAUGGAUUCAAAGUAACGGUCCAUCAUUAGAGCGCAAAAUGUUGCUCUUGCAUCCUUAUCUUCAGCUGUUAAUAACUGAACAGGAAGGAAUUUUAAUGGAAAAUAAUUUUGAGUGAAUAGAAUUGAAUGCCAAUUUGACUUCUGCAAUGUCACGCGAGGCUUGCCUUUGGGGACUUUCUUUCUUCUCUUCGAAAUACAGCAAAACAUCUAAUUGUUUUUCUUCAGCAUGGGCAGUUCUCGGGUUCGUCCUGGUGUUUUUUUAUGGCUGAAGUAUUUCGUAGGUUACGCACUAUUCUACUAAAACUCUGUUUAGUGGGUAAUCUGCUUGCUGCAUAUAAUUGCCGGUACUCCCGAAGAUCCAAAGCUGGACUUUCAUAUUUUUGACAGUAAUAAAAUAAAAACGACGAAUUUACAUUUUACCGAGAGCCUGUGGCUUUUUUGUUUAUCAUGUUCUUCUUUCUUGACUUUUUAUUCGUUGUCAAGUAUAACACAGCACGAAACCCGCAGUAAAAUCGUCAUAUAAGAAUAUUAAUUUGACAUUCGUUCGAAAGCUAAACAUUUUCAGCAUAGACAACCGUAUCUUAUCCAAACUUAUUUUUAUUUUUAAUGGUAAAUAAGAUAAAAUUAUGAAAUUUGGGGGUUUCCAUUUAAUGAUUUUUGGAAGUUUUCUUAAUUUAGUAUUUAUUGUUACUUUUUGAACACCCUGUAUUAUUAGUCAUGAAAGGAUUAUAGAAGUUCUCUUAAACCCAAAUUAAAAAAUAACGAUUUCCUUUUAGAAAAAAAUUCUUGUUAGUCCUAGGGCCUGCAAAUGACAUAUUUGAGAUAAAAAUGUAGACAUAGGAAGACAUUGGUAUAGAGCAUUGUAUAUGAAAUUUUCCUAGAAACUUGGGUAGAAUCCAAAAAUGUAAUAAUACACAGGAUAUUCCAUUAAAAAGUUGUGUUUACCCAAACAACAUAUUCUUGUAUAUAUUCAAUGCUCCUGGGACAUACGGACAAGUCAGCAGUGGCGGAGCAUACGCAUCAUGUUUGAAGACACUCAGGUACUGGACAGGACAACACAUUUUUAUCGACGACUCUUCAGAGAAGCCAUUGAAAUUCAGAAACAUCCGAAUAAUUUCAACAGAAAAGAAAAAGGCCUUAACGUCAGCAGAACGUGGAUUCAGGUCAUAAACAAAACAUCAUGUCUACCCGGACGAAUACGACCUAUGCUUAAUAGCGAGGCCACGCCCACUCCAGCGCUUAUAUACCGGGGAUUCUCCACUAGGCAAAUCAGUCAUCGCAGAGCAGUACGGAAGAUCACUUCGACCGUUACCGCAUCGCCGCUCUUGAAAAUAUCUGCCGCAGUUGUAGACGAAACGUCGAGUGUAAUCUCGGGGCCACGGCUCAAAAGUCCGGAAAUACUUAGCAGUGUAGUUUGUGGCCAUGAAAGCCUAACAUCUUUGAUACACUGAUCUGUUUUUAAAACCCACCUGGUGGCGAUCUCUGUGUAUAAUUAUCUUGAGAGUCAUAAGCUCUUAGCAGUGUAUAUUUCGGUGAUUUUGGAAUUUUUCAAUUUUGAGGCACCUCUCAUAUCUCCGGUAUUCUAUGAAAUAUCGGAAAGGUGAAAAGGGCAUCCGAUGUUAUAUGUCCUAUAUGUUAUUCAAAAAGAUAAACCGAAACGUCAACCUAGAUAUUAAAACAAUUAUUUAAAGUGAUAAGGAACAUAAAAAUUUUUAGCAUUUUUUGCAAAUCUGAACAUAAUUCUUUUAAUUAAUAAAGCUACGUUUUAGUUUCAGUGUGGCCUGUUUACUAGGCACCGAAAUCGUAUAUCGUAUUUUUGGAGAUAAUUUGAUUGGUGUAGGUUGUGCUUUAGAGAAAAUGGUUGACAAUUUCAACAGUUUUUUUGGCUUUUUAAAUUAAAACAAUAGAAUUCAGAUUGGCAAAAAAUGUUAAUAUUUAAUGUUUUUUAUGUUUAUCUUUGGCGGAUCGGGUGCAGAUGGAGGCGGCCAGGACGGCUGUGAGGCUGGCGAGCUGCGGGCUCUGGAGGGAGGGAACCUUCAAUCGGGGCCCGUACUACAUUUUAGAGGGCGGGCUUAAGGAUCGCGGGGUCAUGGGCAUGCCGAGUGAUGUCAUGAUCCCCGAGAUGACCUUCUUUGACAAAUGGACCUUUCUGUUCCCAUCAAUUGAAAAGUGGAGAGAGGGCAGAGUCGGCUUCUGGGAUGGACUUAUCUGGCACACGGACGGGUCCAGAAUUGGAGAUCAGCCGGAGCUGGAGAGUACUGCGAGACAACGGGAUCGAGCUUGGGUUUGGGUCAGUACUGCACUGUGUUUCAGGCGGAUAUUUUCGCUUUAUUGAUGGCGGCCAGAGAGUUGCUUCGGCCCAACCACGGAAACAGGAGGGUCUUCUUCUGCUCGGAUAGGAGGGCUGCACUUAUGGAGCUGAAGUCAGUGCGCACGCGCUCCUUGUUGAUAAAGGAGUGCAAAGGGGUACUGAAUAGAGUGGCCGAGGAGAGGAAUGUCACGUUGCUCUGGGUCGCGAGAGUCACACCGGUAUCCGAGGCAAUGAGGCAGCGGACGGUAUUGGGCUACAAUAGUUGUUGACCAUCUAUAGGAGGGGGUGGGGGACGCAGGGCGCCCCACUUUAGUACCAAUACCAAUACCCCUUCCUUUCCAACGGGUUUGCUAAAUCAUAAUUGCUAAUUUGAUAAGUCUGGUGGAAAAAAUUCCUUCUUGAGAGAAGUGUACUACGCAUCCAUCGUGUUGCAGUCACGCAUCUCCUCUCGUAGAGGGACGUUUUUUUUUUUAUAAAAUCGGCAAGUAGUUAAAUCGAUCACUCAAAAUACCACUCUCGACGUUCGCAUUCGACCUCUUUUGAUAAUUCGCUUUCACGCGUCCAAUGGAAAUUUACUGGCGAUAAUGCAUAUUAUGCAUUGCAUUGAAAGGCAUCAAUAUACACGCUAUGCAAAUUGACUAUUUCUUUGCUCGAAAAAGUAGCUUCAUUUGUUCAUAAUAUUCGAAAUAAAAAAUUUGGGGUCCUCAUCUAUCCUACAAUUUAGCCAAUUAUAGUAUUCUAUUCAAAGAGAAUUUUAAGUAAUUUAGUAUAACGGCCUAGGUAGUGGUCUUUUAGAAUUCGGUGUAUCGAUGUUUUACUAAUACCCAAGUUAAGCCUGAAUGGGCCAUAGGCAAAAACAAUAAUGACGUUUCGUCCUGUUUUGAGCCAAUAUUUACUUAAACGACUACGACUUUAGGUUAAGAAAAAUAUAUUGGCGGUUUUCACUGGGUUGUUCUUUUGUUUGUCUAUUAAUAAAAAAUAAUAUCUUCGCAUUUUUUCCUUUAGAAAAUUCUGUCUAGUGCCAUUUCAGAACUUCAAGAAUAAUUUUAGUCAUUCAAUUUUUUUUUCAAAAUUUUAAAAACAUGCAUUUCCUCAAUAUCGUACCUAAUUGCCCCUACUAAGACACACAUAGAUUAAAAGGAAGCUGGUAUAAAGGAAAUGAUUAAGUUAGAACUUGAUCAUAUUUAUUUAUUGAAGACCUUUUUAAAAUUAAAACAAUAAAAACAAAACAAAACAAUAAAAUAAAAAAAAUAUGUGAGUAUGUCCAUGAUUUGAACAAAUUUAAAAAUUAUAAUUAAUAACUGACCGAUAAAACUGAGCAAUGAGUUUUUUGCAGGUUAAUUGCAAGGUCAUAGUAAUAUUUUUUCUAAAUCUCAUGGAGGUAAGAAGUUGAGAAUGUUUAGCUCCACAUUUUGUAGCUAAGCCCUUCAUGACAUUUCCAUCCAUUCCAAAUCUUCUGUGUUCUGUGAAUAUUGUAUACGGCUUCCAUUUGGGAAUCACAUCUCUAAUUUUAAGAGACAAUAUGCUUUUAAAAAUGAUAGAAAUAGGUUUUGUUCCUUUGCCUCCUGUAACCACUCUUAAAUUGUUUGAAUAUAAUUUUUUCCGCGGUAAUUAAGGAUUCAGCAUAAACUGCCUGAUUAAAUAUGGUGGUUUGAGCUGGUACAUAUUCACCACGCCACACCACACACACGCACCCACCACACGCACACCACCACACGCACACCACCACACGCACACCACCACACGCACACCACCAUAGGCACACCACCACACCGCGAUCGGACAAUUACUCCCAUUCAUUUCUUUAAAAUUUGCAUUUAAUAUUGAAAUUGUAUAAAUAGAACAAAUGUGGCACUGGAACAUAUGAUAUCGGGAUUUAGCGUUAAAUUUUAGUUACAAGAGAAUUGCUUCAUUUUGUUCGAUUCCGGCCUUAACCCCUACGUCCUGUUCUCAAACUUCAGCCAUCUGAAAUCCAAGAUACCUAAAUUUAGCUACUUGUUGUAGCACUUCGUUAUUUACCCUUGUGUUCGUUGGCCCAAAUACCUUUUUGGAAAUAACCGCAACAUUAUUCUUAGAACAUUGUGUUCAGUUCGUAUUCGUUCCCGGCUUUUGUAACUCUUGAAGCGAGGCUUCGUAUUCCGUAUCCGUAGAUUAUUUAAGACCUCCCUAUUUAUUUUAACAUCUUUCACGAAACCAUUUAAAAAUCUUUCGCUUUAAGAGAUCAAUUCUCUCGACCGCUCUCUCAUAAUCGAUAGUGUGGUGGGAAUUUGCAAGUUACUGAUUUUAAAAUGUCUAAACUUUACUCAGUAUAUGCCGCAUUCACAAGAAUUUCUCGAUCUCGGAAAAGUCUUACCAUAUAAUUUUCUCUUGUGUAGUUAUUUUUUUGGAUAUUUUUAAGAUUUUAUUUUCGUUGUGGAGCAGUCGAUGCGGAGGUUUACUUUUAAAUAAACCAUAGAUUUCCUUUUAUAAAAUCAUGGUCAUCGCGCAUCGUCACGCAUCAUCUGGAGCGCGUCAAUCUACCUGUAGGAUUUUAUAGUUGACUCUUCCUUCGCUUCUGUGAUUUUCAGUUUUAUUUGUGAGUAUUAAUAUUUAUCUUGUAGUCUGGGGCUUAUAUUGUCUCGCUUUUGACAAUUGUUUCCUUAACAGUUUCCAAUAGUGAUUGUGUGUCAUUUCCUUCAGUGUAAUUUCUUGCCUUUCAUUUUGUUCGAAAUGUUUGCUUUAAUUUCUUUGUCAUUAAGUAGUGUGAUGUUCAUUUUCUUCUGUCUUGUUUAAAUCUGUCUUCGGUUUAUGUCUAUAUAAUUAUUUCUGAAGUGUAUUCUGAUCGUCAUGUGUUCAAUCUCAGCCCUGUUUGUCGUCCUAUGGCGAUCUCCAGCUGUAAAGACUGCGUAAGGGUAAUCUAAAGCAUGCAUUGCAUGCAUUGGUCAUAUCGUCCUCGCUCUGUUCUCAUUCUUUGCCCCGUGGCCAUUUUAAUUCCUACAACGGACUCAAAGCCAUUACAUUACAUUUUUAGUCAUGUAUACUUGGAACAAUAGUUAAUGGUUCUGACUGAUUCGUGCCCAUUCUAAACCUCCUGGUAUUGUGCUCACGAUCAGUAAAGGAUCACCCGUUGCCGUUAUCUCUUCUAUGCUACCCUUAGUGGGGCUGCUAUUUUUGCCAGAUCUGCCUUGCAGGAGCUUAACGCUGCUUUUCUUGUAUUACGUAAUGAACUCAAAUUAUCGAAUAACCGUUUUAUGCUCAUAAGCACGAAACAACCAGAUCAGUAAAUUCAUCUUUAUAAAAUAAAAAUGUUACAUAGCCAUUAUGGUUUGUUUCUGAGCUACCGGUACAAUUACAAAAUCCGACAUUUUGGUUAUCGCUUAAAUAGUUGGUGUUACUGAGUUGGAUUAUCAUUGAAAAAAUCAAUUUAAAAAUAGAGGGCAUAAUCUCCCGUGAUUAAAUCUUCAGAAAAUAAAUACUUUUCGUUUUUCUAACACGCCAGUUAUUUAUCGGUCGUGGGGACAACCUAUAUAGAUUCUCAUCCGUCUUUUUUAUUGCUUCCCCAUUUUACGCGAGGAGAGGACAAUGCAUGGCGAACAAUUCUAGCGAGUACGUAAUAAAUUAUUUAUUUAGACUAGGUUUUUUUUUCUCUGGAGAUAUUAGUUACGUUAAAGUACAAUGACACAUAAGAUUUGCAGCAAUCCAAUGGAAGUGCCCUGUAAUUAGUUUACUAGUAUUACUCAGGCUCAAAUAAUGCCACUAGUUAAUAUUUGGUUCAAAUAGAAAUGCUUUAAUUUUUGGAUAUGUGGUCCAAUUUUUCUAAUUCAACACAAACUGUGGAUGGAAUAACUGAUCUCAACGUGCAUAUCCAGAAUUUUGUUUAAAGCUAGCGAUGUUUUUUGGUUUGUAUUUUUGCAUUGGUUUGUUUUCAAGAGCGAAAUAACUUUUGACCAACAGUGUGCUUUAAGAAAAGUAUGACUCCCUACUCAUUUAAAGGCAAUGAAUGCACAAAAUGUGUUCCACUAGGUGUUUUAAUAUUAUGGUAAGUAGUAACUUUUUUAUGCAUUCUUAUACUGGCCAAAAAAAC
This is a long non-coding RNA of Cylas formicarius (sweet potato weevil), 17827 nucleotides long. RefSeq lists it as uncharacterized. NCBI's taxonomy places the organism in Eukaryota, Metazoa, Arthropoda, Insecta, Coleoptera, Brentidae. The record is from RefSeq and is a predicted model, not a curated record. The transcript has 3 exons.